GACGAACGCUGGCGGCGUGCUUAACACAUGCAAGUCGAACGGAAAGGCCCCCUUGUGGGGUACUCGAGUGGCGAACGGGUGAGUAACACGUGAGUAACCUACCCUUGACUUUGGGAUAACUUCAGGAAACUGGGGCUAAUACCGGAUAGGAGCUCCUGCUGCAUGGUGGGGGUUGGAAAGUUUCGGCGGUUGGGGAUGGACUCGCGGCUUAUCAGCUUGUUGGUGGGUAGUGGCUCACCAAGGCUUUGACGGGUAGCCGGCCUGAGAGGGUGACCGGCCACAUUGGGACUGAGAUACGGCCCAGACUCCUACGGGAGGCAGCAGUGGGGAAUAUUGCACAAUGGGCGGAAGCCUGAUGCAGCAACGCCGCGUGCGGGAUGACGGCCUUCGGGUUGUAAACCGCUUUCGCCUGUGACGAAGCGUGAGUGACGGUAAUGGGUAAAGAAGCACCGGCUAACUACGUG
RNAcentral lists this ribosomal RNA (464 nucleotides) under uncultured bacterium. RNAcentral's name for it is "partial 16S ribosomal RNA". It matches the Rfam family "Bacterial small subunit ribosomal RNA", at positions 28 to 507 of the family's 1533-position model. The record is from RNAcentral.